UUGGAUGAUUGAGCUCAAGGAAAAAGGCAAAAAGGUUAUGUGAAUUGAUAAAUGGAUAAUGUGGACAGCCUGACUAGAUAUCCUGGGAGAUGGUGGACGGACCGGGUCCGUAGGGAACCCUAUCAGGAAGUGGUCUCUCAUACCGGACGGGGUAUGGAGACCUUAUGUGUUUUGGCGCCCAUACCGGAUGGGGUAUGGGGACGACCCGUUUCACCCUCAUACCGGACG
Molecule: long non-coding RNA, 228 nt
Filed under: Carica papaya (papaya)
Lineage: Eukaryota; Viridiplantae; Streptophyta; Magnoliopsida; Brassicales; Caricaceae
Description: long non-coding RNA (CPAP_LNC007092)
Source: RNAcentral